GUGGGGAAUUUUGGACAAUGGGCGCAAGCCUGAUCCAGCAAUGCCGCGUGCAGGAAGAAGGCCUUCGGGUUGUAAACUGCUUUUGUACGGAACGAAACGGUCCUGGUUAAUACCUGGGGCUAAUGACGGUACCGUAAGAAUAAGCACCGGCUAACUACGUGCCAGCAGCCGCGGUAAUACGGAGGGUGCGAGCGUUAAUCGGAAUUACUGGGCGUAAAGCGUGCGCAGGCGGUGCUGUAAGACAGGCGUGAAAUCCCCGGGCUCAACCUGGGAAUUGCGCUUGUGACUGCAGUGCUGGAGUACGGCAGAGGGGGAUGGAAUUCCGCGUGUAGCAGUGAAAUGCGUAGAUAUGCGGAGGAACACCGAUGGCGAAGGCAGUCCCCUGGGCCUGUACUGACGCUCAUGCACGAAAGCGUGGGGAGCAAACAGGAUUAGAUACCCGUGUAGUCC
Molecule: ribosomal RNA, 450 nt
Filed under: uncultured bacterium
Lineage: Bacteria
Description: partial 16S ribosomal RNA
Rfam family: Bacterial small subunit ribosomal RNA
Source: RNAcentral